GACGAACGCUGGCGGCGUGCUUAACACAUGCAAGUCGAACGCUGAAGCUCAGCUUUUGUUGGGUGGAUGAGUGGCGAACGGGUGAGUAACACGUGAGUAACCUGCCUCCUUCUUUGGGAUAACGCCCGGAAACGGGUGCUAAUACUGGAUAUUCACUGGUCUUCGCAUGGGGGUUGGUGGAAAGGGUUUUUCUGGUGGGGGAUGGGCUCGCGGCCUAUCAGCUUGUUGGUGGGGUGAUGGCCUACCAAGGCUUUGACGGGUAGCCGGCCUGAGAGGGUGACCGGUCACAUUGGGAGUGAGAUACGGCCCGGACUCCUACGGGAGGCAGCAGUGGGGAAUAUUGCACAAUGGGGGCAAGCCUGAUGCAGCGACGCCGCGUGAGGGAUGGAGGCCUUCGGGUUGUGAACCUCUUUCGCUCAUGGUCAAGCCGCAACAAUGGUUGUGGUGAGGGUAGUGGGUAAAGAAGCGCCGGCUAACUACGUG
This 483-nucleotide ribosomal RNA is filed under the name uncultured bacterium. Its description in RNAcentral is "partial 16S ribosomal RNA". It matches the Rfam family "Bacterial small subunit ribosomal RNA", at positions 28 to 507 of the family's 1533-position model. The record is from RNAcentral.